RNAcentral lists this long non-coding RNA (760 nucleotides) under Numida meleagris (helmeted guineafowl). Its description in RNAcentral is "lncRNA (ENSNMEG00000017514.1)". Lineage: Eukaryota; Metazoa; Chordata; Aves; Galliformes; Numididae. The record is from RNAcentral.
UAUACAAAUCACAUUACAGGGUCACAUGCUUGCCUAUGUAUUCUUUUUCUCUUCUACCCAAUACUCGCAGGACUGACAUGUGGAACUGUGCAGCCUUUGCCAUCUGGAAAAAUAAAAAUGGAUGACGAAGAUGGUUAUAGGAAUAUCUUGAACCUCAAGCAUUCCCCGUUUCUACUGUGCUGAUCAGAAUCUGCAGAGUUCAUAGGAGAGAAAGGAAGAAUGCUGUCCCAAGUAUCCCUUGGUGCAUGAACAUAAGAUGCAUGGCCAGCUCUUUCACCCAGGUUUUGUGCAAAGAUUAAUUCUGACAGUGGAGAAGUAAAGAAAGGAUUAUUAGUCAAUCUCAGGGAAGUCUGGAAUUAUUAAAGCAGAGCAGCCACUAACCUGCAGGUCCCUGAAUCUUCUGGAGUAUGAUAUGAUGAUUGAUAACCUGACCUACACUUCUUGGAUCACUUGGCAGCUGUGCUGUCCAUUACUUGCCUAAACUACUUGCUGUCAUUAGUUAUAGCAGUUUUAUGCUUCAUAUACCACACAGCCUCUGAUGGCUGUCUCCCUAAUAAAUUCUUCAUCACCUCCAACAUGACCAUCUGCAUUGCAGCUUCAUUAAUAUCCUUUCAUUCCAAUUUCCAGGUGGGCAAUGUCUUGCUUAGUUAAAGCUUUUUGUAAAUUAUUAAUUAUUGCAACCAAGAAACCUCCUCCCUGGGCUUUCACUGGUAUCAUGAAAUAGUGAUUUCAUGGAUAUUACAGAAGUGCCGCUCGUUGC